CCUACGGGAGGCAGCAGUGGGGAAUAUUGGACAAUGGGGGAAACCCUGAUCCAGCGACGCCGCGUGAGGGAAGAAGUAUUUCGGUACGUAAAGCUCUAUCAGCAGGAAAGAAAAUGACGGUACCUGACUAAGAAGCCCCGGCUAACUACGUGCCAGCAGCCGGGGCAACAUGUAGGGGGCAAGCGUUAUCCGGAUUUACUGGGGGUAAAGGGAGCGUAGACGGCAGCGCAAGUCUGGAGUGAAAUGCCGGGGGCCAACCCCGGAACUGCACUGGAAACUGGGAAGCUGGAGUGCAGGAGAGGUAAGCGGAAUGCGUGGUGUGGCGGUGAAAUGCGUAGAUAUCAGGAAGAACACCGACGGCGAAGGCGGCAUACUGGACUGUAACUGACGUUGAGGCUCGAAGGCGUGGGGAGCGAACAGGAUUAGAUACCCUUGUAGUC
This 440-nucleotide ribosomal RNA is filed under the name uncultured bacterium. RNAcentral's name for it is "partial 16S ribosomal RNA". It matches the Rfam family "Bacterial small subunit ribosomal RNA", at positions 338 to 795 of the family's 1533-position model. The record is from RNAcentral.